Molecule: unclassified non-coding RNA, 306 nt
Filed under: uncultured fungus
Lineage: Eukaryota; Fungi
Description: partial contains small subunit ribosomal RNA, internal transcribed spacer 1, and 5.8S ribosomal RNA
Rfam family: Eukaryotic small subunit ribosomal RNA (bases 1-73)
Source: RNAcentral
ACAAACUUGGUCAUUUAGAGGAAGUAAAAGUCGUAACAAGGUUUCCGUAGGUGAACCUGCGGAAGGAUCAUUAUUGAAUGAAUGUAGAGUUGGUUGUCGCUGGCCCUUUUCCAAGGGCAUGUGCACGCCUUCUCUUUCAUCCACACACACCUGUGCACUUGUGAGACGGAGGGCUUUAAUUAGCCUUCCGUCUACUUAAUUACACAAACUCAUUUAAUUUAAUUUGAAUGUAAUUGAUGUAACGCAUCAUUUGAACUAAGUUUCAACAACGGAUCUCUUGGCUCUCGCAUCGAUGAAGAACGCAGC